Long non-coding RNA from Suricata suricatta (meerkat), 174 nucleotides. RefSeq lists it as uncharacterized. The transcript is spliced from 2 exons. The record is from RefSeq and is a predicted model, not a curated record. NCBI's taxonomy places the organism in Eukaryota, Metazoa, Chordata, Mammalia, Carnivora, Herpestidae.
GUCACUCAGAGAUGUAGCCCUUCUGAAAUCCAUCAGUAGACAAGAAAGGAGGGACAUAAGUAGGCACCUCUGAGCUAGAAGGCAAUGAAAAUUCUGGCCAAGCAUGUGUGCAGCCCUGGCCCUCACCUUGGAGGAGGGGGCAGAUGUCCUUGAACAUGAUCCUCACUCUCGUGA